UGUUUCAACUGUUGCAUCUUGCUGCCUUUAGAACCUUCCAUCCAUAAAGCAGCAGUAUGCAAUGGUGAAAAC
Branchiostoma floridae (Florida lancelet) is the source of this 72-nucleotide non-coding RNA. Lineage: Eukaryota; Metazoa; Chordata; Leptocardii; Amphioxiformes; Branchiostomatidae. The record is from Rfam.